UACGAAGGGGGCUAGCGUUGCUCGGAAUCAUUGGGCGUAAAGAGCGUGUAGGCGGCUCGGUAAGUCCGCUGUGAAAGUCCAGGGCUCAACCCUGGAAUGCCGGUGGAUACUGUCGGGCUAGAGUCCGGAAGAGGCGAGUGGAACUCCUGGUGUAGCGGUGAAAUGCGCAGAUAUCAGGAAGAACACCAACGGCGAAGGCAGCUCGCUGGGACGGUACUGACGCUGAGACGCGAAAGCGUGGGGAGCAAACAGG
RNAcentral lists this ribosomal RNA (253 nucleotides) under uncultured bacterium. RNAcentral describes it as "partial 16S ribosomal RNA". It matches the Rfam family "Bacterial small subunit ribosomal RNA", at positions 524 to 776 of the family's 1533-position model. The record is from RNAcentral.